GACGAACGCUGGCGGCGUGCUUAACACAUGCAAGUCGAACGGAAAGGCCCUGCUUUUGUGGGGUGCUCGAGUGGCGAACGGGUGAGUAACACGUGAGUAACCUGCCCUUGACUUUGGGAUAACUUCAGGAAACUGGGGCUAAUACCGGAUAGGAGCUCCUGCUGCAUGGUGGGGGUUGGAAAGUUUCGGCGGUUGGGGAUGGACUCGCGGCUUAUCAGCUUGUUGGUGGGGUAGUGGCUUACCAAGGCUUUGACGGGUAGCCGGCCUGAGAGGGUGACCGGCCACAUUGGGACUGAGAUACGGCCCAGACUCCUACGGGAGGCAGCAGUGGGGAAUAUUGCACAAUGGGCGGAAGCCUGAUGCAGCAACGCCGCGUGCGGGAUGACGGCCUUCGGGUUGUAAACCGCUUUCGCCUGUGACGAAGCGUGAGUGACGGUAAUGGGUAAAGAAGCACCGGCUAACUACGUGCCAGCAGCCGCGGUGAUACGUAGGGUGCGAGCGUUGUCCGGAUUUAUUGGGCGUAAAGGGCUCGUAGGUGGUUGAUCGCGUCGGGAAGUGUAAUCUUGGGGCUUAACCCUGAGCGUGCUUUCGAUACGGGUUGACUUGAGGAAGGUAGGGGAGAAUGGAAUUCCUGGUGGAGCGGUGGAAUGCGCAGAUAUCAGGAGGAACACCAGUGGCGAAGGCGGUUCUCUGGGCCUUUCCUGACGCUGAGGAGCGAAAGCGUGGGGAGCGAACAGGCUUAGAUACCCUGGUAGUCCACGCUGUAAACGGUGGGUACUAGGUGUGGGGUCCAUUCCACGGGUUCCGUGCCGUAGCUAACGCUUUAAGUACCCCGCCUGGGGAGUACGGCCGCAAGGCUAAAACUCAAAGGAAUUGACGGGGCCCCGCACAAGCGGCGGAGCAUGCGGAUUAAUUCGAUGCAACGCGUAGAACCUUACCUGGGUUUGACAUGGAUCGGGAGUGCUCAGAGAUGGGUGUGCCUCUUUUGGGGUCGGUUCACAGGUGGUGCAUGGCUGUCGUCAGCUCGUGUCGUGAGAUGUUGGGUUAAGUCCCGCAACGAGCGCAACCCUUGUUCACUGUUGCCAGCACGUUAUGGUGGGGACUCAGUGGAGACCGCCGGGGUCAACUCGGAGGAAGGUGGGGAUGACGUCAAGUCAUCAUGCCCCUUAUGUCCAGGGCUUCACGCAUGCUACAAUGGCUGGUACAGAGAGUGGCGAGCCUGUGAGGGUGAGCGAAUCUCGGAAAGCCGGUCUCAGUUCGGAUUGGGGUCUGCAACUCGACCUCAUGAAGUCGGAGUCGCUAGUAAUCGCAGAUCAGCAACGCUGCGGUGAAUACGUUCCCGGGGCU
This 1347-nucleotide ribosomal RNA is filed under the name uncultured bacterium. RNAcentral describes it as "partial 16S ribosomal RNA". It matches the Rfam family "Bacterial small subunit ribosomal RNA", at positions 28 to 1381 of the family's 1533-position model. The record is from RNAcentral.